CCUACGGGUGGCAGCAGUGGGGAAUAUUGCACAAUGGGGGAAACCCUGAUGCAGCAACGCCGCGUGAGCGAUGAAGUCUUUCGGGUUGUAAAGCUCUGUCUUCAGGGACGAUAAUGACGGUACCUGACUAAGAAGCUCCGGCUAACUACGUGCCAGCAGCCGCGGUAAUACGUAUGGAGCGAGCGUUGUCCGGAUUUACUGGGUGUAAAGGGAGCGUAGGCGGUAUGUGAAGUCUGAUGUGAAAGACACGGGCUCAACCCUGGGACUGCAUUUGAAACUGUAUGACUGGAGUGUAGGAGAGGAAAGUGGAAUUCCUAGUGUAGCGGUGAAAUGCGUAGAGAUUAGGAGGAACACCAGUGGCGAAGGCGGCUUGCUGGACGAUAACUGACGCUGAGGCUCGAAAGCGUGGGGAGCAAACAGGAUUAGAUACCCGAGUAGUC
Molecule: ribosomal RNA, 440 nt
Filed under: uncultured bacterium
Lineage: Bacteria
Description: partial 16S ribosomal RNA
Rfam family: Bacterial small subunit ribosomal RNA
Source: RNAcentral